GGCGAACGGGUGAGUAAUACGUGAGUGACCUACCUUUGACUCUGGGAUAAGCCUGGGAAAUUGGGUCUAAUACCGGAUACGACCAAUCUCCGCAUGGGGUGUUGGUGGAAAGCGUUAUGGAGUGGUUUUAGAUGGGCUCACGGCCUAUCAGCUUGUUGGUGAGGUAAUGGCUUACCAAGGCGACGACGGGUAGCCGGCCUGAGAGGGUGACCGGCCACACUGGGACUGAGACACGGCCCAG
RNAcentral lists this ribosomal RNA (241 nucleotides) under uncultured Actinomycetales bacterium. Its description in RNAcentral is "partial 16S ribosomal RNA". It matches the Rfam family "Bacterial small subunit ribosomal RNA", at positions 97 to 334 of the family's 1533-position model. The record is from RNAcentral. Lineage: Bacteria; Bacillati; Actinomycetota; Actinomycetes; Actinomycetales.